This 250-nucleotide ribosomal RNA is filed under the name uncultured bacterium. RNAcentral describes it as "partial 16S ribosomal RNA". It matches the Rfam family "Bacterial small subunit ribosomal RNA", at positions 796 to 1041 of the family's 1533-position model. The record is from RNAcentral.
CAUGCCGUAAACGAUGAGUGCUAAGUGUUAGGGGGUUUCCGCCCCUUAGUGCUGCAGCUAACGCAUUAAGCACUCCGCCUGGGGAGUACGACCGCAAGGUUGAAACUCAAAGGAAUUGACGGGGGCCCGCACAAGCGGUGGAGCAUGUGGUUUAAUUCGAAGCAACGCGAAGAACCUUACCAGGUCUUGACAUCCAACUAACGAAGCAGAGAUGCAUCAGGUGCCCUUCGGGGAAAGUUGAGACAGGUGG